Molecule: long non-coding RNA, 2078 nt
Filed under: Oncorhynchus kisutch (coho salmon)
Lineage: Eukaryota; Metazoa; Chordata; Actinopteri; Salmoniformes; Salmonidae
Description: lncRNA (ENSOKIG00005043506.1)
Source: RNAcentral
CCAUGUAUAUAAUCAGGACCCACUAGACACAAUACUAAAACAACACACUCACUCAAUAACUCCACACGCCAGAUCAAUAAUACAUGUGAAUGUGCUAAAUGACCAAAUAGAGUUAAAACAACACAGUCCCCUGGCAGGAGGACCUGCCCCUCCACACACUCCCCUGGCAGGAGGACCUGCUCCUCCACACACUCCCCUGGCAGGAGGACCUGCUCCUCCACACACUCCCCUGGCAGGAGGACCUGCCCCUCCACACACUCCCCUGGCAGGAGGACCUGCUCCUCCACACAGUCCCCUGGCAGGAGGACCUGCUCCUCCACACACUCCCUGGCAGGAGGACCUGCUCCUCCACACACUCCCCUGGCAGAGGACCUGCUCCUCCACACACUCCCCUGGCAGGAGGACCUGCUCCUCCACACACUCCCCUGGCAGGAGGACCUGCUCCUCCACACACUCCCCUGGCAGGAGGACCUGCUCCUCCACACAGUCCCCUGGCAGGAGGACCUGCUCCUCCACACACUCCCCUGGCAGGAGGACCUGCUCCUCCACACACUCCCCUGGCAGGAGGACCUGCUCCUCCACACACUCCCCUGGCAGGAGGACCUGCUCCUCCACACACUCCCCUGGCAGGAGGACCUGCUCCUCCACACACUCCCCUGGCAGGAGGACCUGCUCCUCCACACACUCCACUGGCAGGAGGACCUGCCCCUCCACACACUCCCCUGGCAGGAGGACCUGCUCCUCCACACACUCCCCUGGCAGGAGGACCUGCUCCUCCACACACUCCCCUGGCAGGAGGACCUGCUCCUCCACACACUCCACUGGCAGGAGGACCUGCCCCUCCACACACUCCCCUGGCAGGAGGACCUGCUCCUCCACACACUCCCCUGGCAGGAGGACCUGCUCCUCCACACACUCCCCUGGCAGGAGGACCUGCUCCUCCACACACUCCCCUGGCAGGAGGACCUGCUCCUCCACACACUCCCCUGGCAGGAGGACCUGCCCCUCCACACACUCCCCUGGCAGGAGGACCUGCUCCUCCACACACUCCCCUGGCAGGAGGACCUGCUCCUCCACACACUCUCCUGGCAGGAGGACCUGCUCCUCCACACAGUCCACUGGCAGGAGACCUGCUCCUCCACACACUCCACUGGCAGGAGGACCUGCUCCUCCACACACUCCCCUGGCAGGAGGACCUGCUCCUCCACACACUCCCCUGGCAGGAGGACCUGCUCCUCCACACACUCCCCUGGCAGGAGGACCUGCUCCUCCACACACUCCUCUGGCAGGAGGACCUGCUCCUCCACACACUCCUCUGGCAGGAGGACCUGCUCCUCCACACACUCCCCUGGCAGGAGGACCUGCUCCUCCACACACUCCCCUGGCAGGAGGACCUGCUCCUCCACACACUCCCCUGGCAGGAGGACCUGCUCCUCCACACACUCCUCUGGCAGGAGGACCUGCUCCUCCACACACUCCCCUGGCAGGAGGACCUGCUCCUCCACACACUCCCCUGGCAGGAGGACCUGCUCCUCCACACACUCCUCUGGCAGGAGGACCUGCUCCUCCACACACUCCCCUGGCAGGAGGACCUGCUCCUCCACACACUCCCCUGGCAGGAGGACCUGCUCCUCCACACACUCCACUGGCAGGAGGACCUGCUCCUCCACACAGUCCCCUGGCAGGAGGACCUGCUCCUCCACACACUCCUCUGGCAGGAGGACCUGCCCCUCCACACACUCCACUGGCAGGAGGACCUGCUCCUCCACACACUCCACUGGCAGGAGGACCUGCUCCUCCACACACUCCCCUGGCAGGAGGACCUGCUCCUCCAAACACUCCACUGGCAGGAGGACCUGCCCCUCCACACACUCCACUGGCAGGAGGACCUGCCCCCCCCCUACCACUACAAGACCAUGGUGUUUACCUACAGAACAGCAGGAGGACCUGCCCCCCCCCCCCCUACCACUACAAGACCAUGGUGUUUACCUACAGAACAGCAGGAGGACCUGCCCCCCCCCCCCUACCACUACAAGACCAUGGUGUUUACCUACAGAACAGCAGGAGGACCUGCCCCC